This 200-nucleotide ribosomal RNA is filed under the name uncultured bacterium. Its description in RNAcentral is "partial 16S ribosomal RNA". It matches the Rfam family "Bacterial small subunit ribosomal RNA", at positions 8 to 215 of the family's 1533-position model. The record is from RNAcentral.
AGAGUUUGAUCCUGGCUCAGAUUGAACGCGUGGCGCAUGCCUUACACAUGCAAGUCGAACGGCAGCACGGGUGCUUGCACCUGGUGGCGAGUGGCGAACGGGUGAGUAAUACAUCGGAACAUGUCCAGUAGUGGGGGAUAGCCCGGCGAAAGCCGGAUUAAUACCGCAUACGAUCUAUGGAUGAAAGCGGGGGACCUUCG